GGCGUCCACGGAGUCGCCAGCGUCCGUUUCGGACGGCUCAUGUUGUGUAGCGGUUGGGUUGGACUAUGAGUUCGGAUUUUUCUUGUUUAAAAACGCAAGAUGUAUCAUGUGAAUGUCCUCCAACAGUGACAGCUGGCAGGGAAGAUGCCUGCAACAUUUCUGCUCUGCUUCUUGGUGUAGGAACUAUUCGAGCGUCCGAACGCCUCGUACCCAAUGCCCGGUCUACGGCUGCCGACAGACACUGAGCUCCAGUCCCCGGUAGCAGUCCCCUUUGAAAAAAUAAACGUGUUUCGAUGCCAGAGCUAACUGGUGGGUGCACAUGGUUCCUUCGUAUGUUCUUCCUUUGAAAAAAUAAACGUGUUUUGAUGCCAGAGCUGACUGAUGGGUGCACAUGGUUCCUUCGUAUGUUCUUCCUUUGAAAAAAUAAACGUGUUUUGAUGCCAGAGCUGACUGAUGGGUGCACAUGGUUCCUUCGUAUGUUCUUCCUUUGAAAAAA
This is a long non-coding RNA of Ornithodoros turicata, 496 nucleotides long. RefSeq lists it as uncharacterized. The transcript is spliced from 5 exons. The record is from RefSeq and is a predicted model, not a curated record. Lineage: Eukaryota; Metazoa; Arthropoda; Arachnida; Ixodida; Argasidae.